Molecule: ribosomal RNA, 813 nt
Filed under: Weissella sp. 3.2.27
Lineage: Bacteria; Bacillati; Bacillota; Bacilli; Lactobacillales; Lactobacillaceae
Description: bacterial SSU rRNA
Rfam family: Bacterial small subunit ribosomal RNA
Source: RNAcentral
AAUACAUGCAAGUCGAACGCUUUGUGGUUCAACUGAUUUGAAGAGCUUGCUCAGAUAUGACGAUGGACAUUGCAAAGAGUGGCGAACGGGUGAGUAACACGUGGGAAACCUACCUCUUAGCAGGGGAUAACAUUUGGAAACAGAUGCUAAUACCGUAUAACAAUAGCAACCGCAUGGUUGCUACUUAAAAGAUGGUUCUGCUAUCACUAAGAGAUGGUCCCGCGGUGCAUUAGUUAGUUGGUGAGGUAAUGGCUCACCAAGACGAUGAUGCAUAGCCGAGUUGAGAGACUGAUCGGCCACAAUGGGACUGAGACACGGCCCAUACUCCUACGGGAGGCAGCAGUAGGGAAUCUUCCACAAUGGGCGAAAGCCUGAUGGAGCAACGCCGCGUGUGUGAUGAAGGGUUUCGGCUCGUAAAACACUGUUGUAAGAGAAGAAUGACAUUGAGAGUAACUGUUCAAUGUGUGACGGUAUCUUACCAGAAAGGAACGGCUAAAUACGUGCCAGCAGCCGCGGUAAUACGUAUGUUCCAAGCGUUAUCCGGAUUUAUUGGGCGUAAAGCGAGCGCAGACGGUUAUUUAAGUCUGAAGUGAAAGCCCUCAGCUCAACUGAGGAAUUGCUUUGGAAACUGGAUGACUUGAGUGCAGUAGAGGAAAGUGGAACUCCAUGUGUAGCGGUGAAAUGCGUAGAUAUAUGGAAGAACACCAGUGGCGAAGGCGGCUUUCUGGACUGUAACUGACGUUGAGGCUCGAAAGUGUGGGUAGCAAACAGGAUUAGAUACCCCUGGUAGUCCACACCGUAAACGAUGAGUGC